UUUGACAAUUCCAGGCAAAAGACACCAGAGGGCACUACAGGACCACGUUUUGUAAUUUCAGGCGCCAUUUUACCCUUGGAUUUGAACAAUAAUUUCUUAAAAAACUGUUAACCUUCUGAGAUCCGUAUGUGGAUUUAUUUAUUGCUUUCAAUAUCUUAUCGCCACUAAGCUUAACUAGCUAGGCUUGGAAGGUUAUUUUAAAGGACAAUGCCCUAAAAAGGCAGACACAAUUGGGCUUCCUCUUUAUUUUACCUUCCUAUAGAAUGUCGGCAUGUGUAUGAGCGUGUAUGAGCGUGUGUGUGUGUGUGUGUGUGUGUGUGUGUGUGUGUGUGUGUGUUUAGCAAACAUUUAUGAUUGAAGAAACCAUUCAGGGAAUCCAAAAACUAAAAUGCAGGAUUCCACUGCCUCCCCUCCACCCACCCCGCAAAAAAAAAAAAAAAAAAAGAAAAAAAAAAUAAGAAGAAACCCUGCAUUUUAGAUCUUCCUAGAAAUAGCAAGUUGCUCCAGGAAAAGACCAAACCAGGUGAUAAAGGUUUGUGUCACCAUUUCAAAAAGAAUAAAGAAAAGGGCAGUACAGACACUGCAUUAUCA
Molecule: long non-coding RNA, 591 nt
Filed under: Homo sapiens (human)
Lineage: Eukaryota; Metazoa; Chordata; Mammalia; Primates; Hominidae
Description: non-protein coding lnc-NFE2L3-5:1
Source: RNAcentral